UACGGAGGGGACUAGCGUUGUUCGGAAUUACUGGGCGUAAAGGGCGCGUAGGCGGCCUGCUAAGUCGAACGUGAAAUCCCCGAGCUCAACUCGGGAACUGCGUCCGAUACUGGCAGGCUUGAAUCCGGGAGAGGGAUGCGGAAUUCCAGGUGUAGCGGUGAAAUGCGUAGAUAUCUGGAGGAACACCGGUGGCGAAGGCGGCAUCCUGGACCGGCAUUGACGCUGAGGCGCGAAAGCCAGGGGAGCAAACGGG
Molecule: ribosomal RNA, 253 nt
Filed under: uncultured bacterium
Lineage: Bacteria
Description: partial 16S ribosomal RNA
Rfam family: Bacterial small subunit ribosomal RNA
Source: RNAcentral